Molecule: ribosomal RNA, 460 nt
Filed under: uncultured bacterium
Lineage: Bacteria
Description: partial 16S ribosomal RNA
Rfam family: Bacterial small subunit ribosomal RNA
Source: RNAcentral
CCUACGGGAGGCAGCAGUGAGGAAUAUUGGUCAAUGGACGAGAGUCUGAACCAGCCAAGUAGCGUGAAGGAUGACUGCCCUAUGGGUUGUAAACUUCUUUUAUAUGGGAAUAAAACGUUCCACGUGUGGGAUUUUGUAUGUACCAUAUGAAUAAGGAUCGGCUAACUCCGGGCCAGCAGCCGCGGUAAUACGGAGGAUCCGAGCGUUAUCCGGAUUUAUUGGGUUUAAAGGGAGCGUAGGUGGAUUGUUAAGUCAGUUGUGAAAGUUUGCGGCUCAACCGUAAAAUUGCAGUUGAAACUGGCAGUCUUGAGUACAGUAGAGGUGGGCGGAAUUCGUGGUGUAGCGGUGAAAUGCUUAGAUAUCACGAAGAACUCCGAUUGCGAAGGCAGUUCACUGGACUGCAACUGACACUGAGGCUCGAAAGUGUGGGUAUCAAACAGGAUUAGAUACCCGUGUAGUC